This 468-nucleotide ribosomal RNA is filed under the name uncultured bacterium. Its description in RNAcentral is "partial 16S ribosomal RNA". It matches the Rfam family "Bacterial small subunit ribosomal RNA", at positions 28 to 507 of the family's 1533-position model. The record is from RNAcentral.
GACGAACGCUGGCGGCGUGCUUAACACAUGCAAGUCGAACGGAAAGGCCCUGCUUUUGUGGGGUGCUCGAGUGGCGAACGGGUGAGUAACACGUGAGUAACCUGCCCUUGACUUUGGGAUAACUUCAGGAAACUGGGGCUAAUACCGGAUAGGAGCUCCUGCUGCAUGGUGGGGGUUGGAAAGUUUCGGCGGUUGGGGAUGGACUCGCGGCUUAUCAGCUUGUUGGUGGGGUAGUGGCUUACCAAGGCUUUGACGGGUAGCCGGCCUGAGAGGGUGACCGGCCACAUGGGGACUGAGAUACGGCCCAGACUCCUACGGGAGGCAGCAGGGGGGAAUAUUGCACAAUGGGCGGAAGCCUGAUGCAGAAACGCCGCGUGCGGGAUGACGGCCUUCGGGUUGUGAACCGCUUUCGCCUGUGACGAAGCGUGAGUGACGGUAAUGGGUAAAGAAGCACCGGCUAACUACGUG